Molecule: ribosomal RNA, 453 nt
Filed under: uncultured bacterium
Lineage: Bacteria
Description: partial 16S ribosomal RNA
Rfam family: Bacterial small subunit ribosomal RNA
Source: RNAcentral
GACGAACGCUGGCGGCGUGCUUAACACAUGCAAGUCGAACGGAAAGGCCCUGCUUUUGUGGGGUGCUCGAGUGGCGAACGGGUGAGUAACGCGUAAGAACCUGCCCUUGGGAGGGGAACAACAACUGGAAACGGUUGCUAAUACCCCGUAGGCUGAGGAGCAAAAGGAGAAAUCCGCCCAAGGAGGGGCUCGCGUCUGAUUAGCUAGUUGGUGAGGUAGUGGCUUACCAAGGCUUUGACGGGUAGCCGGCCUGAGAGGGUGACCGGCCACAUUGGGACUGAGAUACGGCCCAGACUCCUACGGGAGGCAGCAGUGGGGAAUAUUGCACAAUGGGCGGAAGCCUGAUGCAGCAACGCCGCGUGCGGGAUGACGGCCUUCGGGUUGUAAACCGCUUUCGCCUGUGACGAAGCGUGAGUGACGGUAAUGGGUAAAGAAGCACCGGCUAACUACGUG